Molecule: long non-coding RNA, 4017 nt
Filed under: Homo sapiens (human)
Lineage: Eukaryota; Metazoa; Chordata; Mammalia; Primates; Hominidae
Description: neuronal hypoxia inducible, placenta associated, transcript variant 1 (NHIP)
Source: RNAcentral
GUCUUGCAGGCUGGGGUCCCAGGUGAGAGAUGCCAGCAGGGAGCUCUAGAUGGGGAACUGGGUGAGCCUGGCUCGGUAAGGGCGUGCUCAGAACACCCCAUCCCCGAACACGGUCUUGUGUGAUAAAAUGUCACGCAAGAAGAAUCUGAAACCGCGAGAAGAGGAGGACACGGCCAGACUGCACCGAACCCCGGCACCUCUGUGGGGAAAAGCAGGUCAGGCUGAGCGGGGCCGGCGGGGACACGCGCUCCUGGGCUUCUCCAGAGUCUGCCGGGGCCGGGCCCGGGACCGAGGCUGGGACGCGCUGUGCAGUCCCACCCCUCACACCCCUCGCACGCCUGGAAACACCCUCGGGGUAACACAAGCCGGGGUUGAGUUUCUUGAAGAGAAGCUGGCUGCAUCCUGGAGCCAGGGAAAGAGGAGCACAGGGGCCAAGCGGUCCAGGGCCACGGAGGAGCAGGACCCCUGGGGAAAGGCCCGGGUCUAGGCCGGGGCCAGGGGACCGUGGUGGAGACCUCAAAAAUGGCAGAACACGGAAGCAGGGCGAGAAAAGUAAACGUAGUCCUUGCGGCAGUUUGAAAUACACGCGGGUAAACGCUGGGUGACUCCGCCCGGAUGCAGAGUGGGGGUCUGUGUCUCUCCCCACAGGCUGCAGGGACCGGGCUCUGGGUAACCAGCAGAAGGUAACAGAACGAGGCUGCUUUUCCUCCAGGCUGUUCUGGUGUCCGCGCGUGGCUUGUGCGCUGACUCCUGACUUGGAGCGCCGCGUGGCCAGAGAAAUCUGGGUGCCUCCAGGCCACCAUGGUGAGAGGAGAGGCCACCGCACGAACGGAAGAAGCGAUGGAGACGGUCUUUACGACCUAAGAACAGAAAGAGUUUCUUAUACACAAUCCGAAAAGUAAAAAUUGAUUGAUUGAUUGAUUGAGAUGGAAUCCCACUCUGUCGUCCAGGUUAGAGUGCAAUGGCUUGAUCUCGGCUCAUUGCAACCUCCGCCUCCCGGGUUCAAGCGAUUCUCCUGCCUCAGUCUCCCGAGUAGCUGGGAUUAUAGGCGCCCGCCACCACGACUGGCUAAUUUUUAUAUUUUUAGUAGAGACGCAGUUUCACCGUGUUGACCAGGCUGGUCUUGAACCCCUGACCUCAGGUGAUCCGCCUGCCUCGGUCUCCCAAAGUGCUGGGAUUACAGGCGUGAGCCACCGUGCUGGGCCAAAAAUCAAUUUUAAAACGACCACAUGAAAAAUAAAUCUCCUGUAUCACAGAGCAUGUUCUGAGGAAAAUGAAAGCCACAGAUCCAGAAGAUAUUUGUGACACAUAUGAAAAACAAAAACUCAUAUUCAAAACAUACACAGCAUUGCUAUGAAUCAUUAAGAAAAAUGAUUUCGUCUCCUCUACAGGAGCCUGAGUGAAGGACAAGGACAGAUCAUUAUAAACCAGGGAGCUUGAAGAGCUAGUUAACAAGCACAGAAAAUAUGUUCCCCCACACUGUUAAUCAAGAAAAUUAAAACUGUAAUGAGAUGCCGCAUUGUAUCCAUGGGAUUUCUAAAAGUACAAAGUUCCACAAUACCCGUUGUUGACGGAGCAGGGAAACCGCAGGAGCCUGCAGGAGAUGAGAUUGUAAAUGUGCAAGGACAUUUUGGAGAAGAGUUGACAACAUCUCACUCACGUGUAUCAAGCCAAGUGCCGAAAGAAGAAUUGGUUGUCAUAAAGAAAACAGAAACCCAGAAUGGAUGUAGCUUAUCCCUCCGAUGGAAAGUUACAAAGAAGUUAAAAUGAAUGGGCUGCAUCUCUGUGUAACAAUUUGGAUCAAUAUCAAAGACACAUUUGUUAAAGCAAGGUGUACAAUGAAACCUGCAACAUGAUUUGUCUGUUUAGUAAAACACAGAAAAUCUAACUCCGCCUGGCUUACGAACACACACAUGUGUUAGAAUUUGGGAAAAGGAAAGGGAGGGAGGCCGGCUACACGUGAACUUUUGGAAAAUCUCAGAGGGUCUGGGGCACCAGGUGGAGACCAUGGCAGCCUUCAGGGAUAUGAGGUCAAAUGAGAUGCUGCCUUUCCACCAGAUAAAGAUUUACCUGGUGCCUCUGUUACUGCCCAGCAGCGCCUGAGGACGUGGGGGCUGCUGCCCAACACGGAGGCUGGGCUGGCCUGGUCCGUGGGCUCAGGUUCUCAUCCUCUGCACGUGCAUCUGCCUCCUGUGCGUCUCUGUGCACACGCUUGUAUCUGGAUGCAGAGUCCUGUGCCCAGUGUACAUGCACAGAUGUGCGCAUCUGGGUAGAUGUGCUGGUUCGCUGUGUGAGCAUGCACAGACCCUUGUUCACCGUGUGUGCGCAUCCGUGCAGUGUGGACAUCUGGACAGGACCCCGUGCUCCCUGUCUCUGCCGCUGAGAUGUUUCCUAGCUGUGCACAGAAUUCACUCUCCUACUGGAGGGCUCUGACUGAAAGCUCUGAUGCGGCAGGCCUUCUCUUGACACUUGGUUAAGAAGGAUGUGUUUGCUUCCCCUUCUGCCAUGAUUGGAAGUUUCCUGAGACCCCUCCAGCCAUGCUGAACUGAUUUCCUGAAGACACCAUCCCAGUCAAGUGGUCUGCCUCAUACUGAGCCACCAGACCACCCAGCAUGUCCUCACCCGCGUGGACAGAUGACAGGGGGCUCUGAGCAUGCCCCAGUGCACCUUACGCACCUGUGAAGGUUGGGAGCCUGAGUGCAGCUCCUGUGGCACUGCCCGUGGCCAGGGAGAUGCCUCCUCAGUGCUCCUGACCCUCGGUGGAGGACCGGCCAGCGUGUGUGCCGACAGUGUGUCCACACAGGUGUGCUGCGCCCAAUGGGCAAGUCGGAAACAAAGGAAAAUGCUCUCUGAAGGAAAAGGCAAAGCAAUUUGGAUUUCUGCGAGAAAAUGAGACUGCAUGUGGCACUGUAAAUACCCUUGCUGCUGAACUUCUCGCUCCCCCCAGAUACACCCUUCAUAUUGACAUGUCUAGAACCUUAAACUGAACCAAGUUGAAAAGUGAGAUUAAUUAGGGCUGAGUUAACAGUUAACACAUACAAUGAAAUAUUGAAUAAGGCUUACUGAGCAAACAAGAAUAUACAGAAGUGGAGGAGACAAAGAGGAUAUUAAAAAUGCAGACAGUGAUGAGGCAGAUAGCUGGGACAAAUAAUGAAAAAUAGUAAAGGAGAUAAGGCAGAUAUUGGAGGAGCAAAGAGUCUCUGAAAUAGAUAUCGGUAUUGAAAGAUGCUAAACACGCUUCUAAAGAGACUUUCUAGCCGACACAGGGAGCUCACUGAUGGAUGAAGUAGAAACAUUUUUAAAUGGAAUCAAACAGGGCAAAGCGGGAGAAGAAAAAGAAGUAGGUAAACCAGUAAAUUAACUUUUCUCGUGUGUGCUGUGUACUAUUUGUGAGUGAGCAAUGAACGCUGUGGCUCCCUGGAGGGGCUGUGGUGGGAAGUUUCACUGCGAUCAAGUAGAGGUGGUGCCUUUGGACCUCUUCUCCUGAACCUGCAGGGAGAGGCGCAGAAUAUUCACAAGGUGAAGAUGCAACAAUUCAAAUGAGUGUCCAGGUUUUCAGGGUGGUUGCUAAACCCCAAAAGACCGAUAGCUUCGGGCAAAAGACUGCAGAAAGAACAGCUUUACAUUUUUACGGAAGCAAUGGGAAAUAUACCCUGUAAGCCUUGAAAAAUUCCCGAAGGGAUUCCUGUUCAUUCCUGUGGAUCCUAAUGGGCCAGCAUAGACCUGUUAGUCAAAAGAGGAUUUAUCUACAUUGCACACUCAUUCAGGCAGGCAGGGAAGUCAACGCCACUUUCAGAUGUUUGUAGAGCAUGAACUCUGUCCGUUCCCACGCCCUCCAAAGGCUGUUACACAGGGAUGCCCGCUUCUGGACAGAAGUGAUUCAUGCAGGAUGAGAACCAUGACCACAGAAGAUUUUGUGCAUGUGGUUAUUUCAAUAUUUAAUUUAAGUGUAUGCAUGAGUGUUCAGGAUAAAAAUGCUUGGAGUGUACUUUAAUUCCAUUAAAAAUGUAUACAUUA